GGAAGUAAAGUCGUAACAAGGUUUCCGUAGGUGAACCUGCGGAAGGAUCAUUCAUAAUAAAGUGUUUUAUGGCACUUUUUAAAAAUCCAUAUCCACCUUGUGUGCAAUGUUAGAUCUCGUCAAUCUUGGCGAGAUUUUUAUACAUCAACUCAUUCUUUAACUAAUUUGUCUGAAAAAUAUAAUGAAUACUUAAUUCAAAAUACAACUUUCAACAACGGAUCUCUUGGCUCUC
This 232-nucleotide unclassified non-coding RNA is filed under the name plant metagenome. Its description in RNAcentral is "partial contains small subunit ribosomal RNA, internal transcribed spacer 1, and 5.8S ribosomal RNA". The stretch from base 1 to 53 matches the Rfam family "Eukaryotic small subunit ribosomal RNA", at positions 1778 to 1831 of the family's 1831-position model. The record is from RNAcentral.